Molecule: unclassified non-coding RNA, 246 nt
Filed under: fungal sp.
Lineage: Eukaryota; Fungi
Description: partial internal transcribed spacer region
Rfam family: Eukaryotic small subunit ribosomal RNA (bases 1-46)
Source: RNAcentral
AAGUCGUAACAAGGUUUCCGUAGGUGAACCUGCGGAAGGAUCAUUACAGUAUAUUGAAUUCUUAUUCAUAUCAACCCACACUGUGUACCUUUUAUCUGUUGCUUCCAUGGGACAUGGCUCUGCCACGUCGGCCUUCGGGCUGGUGAGUUCCCAUGGAAGGAAACCCAAUACUCUUUUUAUUUUUGACAUCUGUCUGAAUAGUUUUUAUAAACGUUAAAACUUUCAACAACGGAUCUCUUGGCUCUC